RNAcentral lists this ribosomal RNA (253 nucleotides) under uncultured bacterium. Its description in RNAcentral is "partial 16S ribosomal RNA". It matches the Rfam family "Bacterial small subunit ribosomal RNA", at positions 524 to 776 of the family's 1533-position model. The record is from RNAcentral.
UACAGAGGUCUCAAGCGUUGUUCGGAUUCAUUGGGCGUAAAGGGUGCGUAGGCGGCGCGGUAAGUCGGGUGUGAAAUCUCGGAGCUUAACUCCGAAACUGCAUUCGAUACUGCCGUGCUUGAGGACUGGAGAGGAGACUGGAAUUUACGGUGUAGCGGUGAAAUGCGUAGAUAUCGUAAGGAAGACCAGUGGCGAAGGCGGGUCUCUGGACCAAUACUGACGCUCAGGUGCGAAAGCGUGGGGAGCAAACAGG